Myotis brandtii (Brandt's bat) is the source of this 309-nucleotide long non-coding RNA. RefSeq lists it as uncharacterized. The transcript has 2 exons. NCBI's taxonomy places the organism in Eukaryota, Metazoa, Chordata, Mammalia, Chiroptera, Vespertilionidae. The record is from RefSeq and is a predicted model, not a curated record.
CAAACGCAGGACCCUUCAGUCCGAGGGCCAACAUUCUAUCCACUGAGCCAAACUGGCUAGGAGGAAAGUAAGUCCUUCUGACAUGAAUCACACCACCACCCUUCCCGCACUUCAGAUAUCGACCUCUACCUACUUAGACGCAGCAGUCCUUGGAAAAACCCAGAACAGAAACUUCCCUGCCAAGUGAAGAGUUGCUCACUGGAGUGGCUUCAGGAAAUGCAAAUCGAAUGUCUGUAGUGGUAUUUAAAGACAUGAAGAGUUUCGAUGUGUGUUAAACUGAAAAUAUGAAUAAAUGUCUUUUGGGAUGUA